UACGGAGGGUGCAAGCGUUGUUCGGAAUUAUUGGGCGUAAAGGGCAGGUAGGUGGUCCCAAAAGUCUACUGUGAAAUCCCCGGGCUUAACUCGGGAAGUGCGGUAGAUACUCUGGGACUAGAGUACUGGAGGGGUUCGUGGAAUUCCCGGUGUAGCGGUGAAAUGCGUAGAUAUCAGGAGGAACACCGGUGGCGAAGGCGGGUCUCUGGGCCGAAACUGACGCUGAUGCGCGAAAGCUAGGGGAGCAAACAGG
Molecule: ribosomal RNA, 253 nt
Filed under: uncultured bacterium
Lineage: Bacteria
Description: partial 16S ribosomal RNA
Rfam family: Bacterial small subunit ribosomal RNA
Source: RNAcentral